CCCUUAGAUGUCCUGGGCUGCACGCGCGCUACACUGAUGAAUUCAAAAAGUAAACCUUCUCUGAAAGGAGUGGGUAAACUCAAACGUUCAUCGUGAUGGGGAUAGAUUUUUGCAAUUAUGGAUCUUCAACGAGGAAUGCCUAGUAGAUGCAAGUCAUCAGCUUGCGUUGAUUACGUCCCUGCCUAUUGUACACACCGCCCGUCGCUCCUACCGAUUGAGUGGUCCGGUGAGUAAUUCGGACUUACACUUCCUUCGGAAGUGAAAGAAAGUUUCGCGAACCUUACCACUUAGAGGAAGGAGAAGUCGUAUCA
This 311-nucleotide ribosomal RNA is filed under the name uncultured eukaryote. RNAcentral describes it as "partial 18S ribosomal RNA". It matches the Rfam family "Eukaryotic small subunit ribosomal RNA", at positions 1470 to 1796 of the family's 1831-position model. The record is from RNAcentral.